Long non-coding RNA from Teleopsis dalmanni, 674 nucleotides. RefSeq lists it as uncharacterized. The record is from RefSeq and is a predicted model, not a curated record. The transcript has 3 exons. NCBI's taxonomy places the organism in Eukaryota, Metazoa, Arthropoda, Insecta, Diptera, Diopsidae.
UUCAUUUUAUAUAAUUUUAUUUUAAAGUAAUUUAGUUUUAUUUAGCGUAUUGACAAGGAGUGAGCAGAUCCCAAAAUAAAUGCUUAUAUUAUUCUCAUAUAUCUCAUAUGCCUUUGAAAAACUUUUCCAGCAUAAUUUUAUUGGAGAUGCUUUUUAAUAUAGAUGCCAAUAGCGAAAUGGGUUAGCAACGUCAAGAAGUUUAUUCUAUUAAAACAAUAUAUUCGAGUUGUAAAUGUAGUCCUGUAAGACUUCUGAUAUCUGUCCAAUGAACAACUACUGACAUAUACUUAUUACGGUUAACGAUAUUACAGCGAGCACAUGUGAGUAUGGUUAAAUAGCUUCCAAUAUUGGGUUCCACACUUUUUUCUGGGUUUUACGAAACUUAAUUUGUUUUUCCUUUCCACAUAUAUUUAGCAGUUAACAGUUAAGCUUCGAUUCUGCUUGAAGUGUAUAUAUUUGUGAGUGCCUCAGCUCAUAGAAAGUUUAUUUUUUUCUUAAGAAGAUUUAAUCAGCAUUUUUACUGUCCACUACGUUGUUUACUAACCAUAAUGAAAAAUAUUUGGGAUGUGAUGCGUGUAUGGUCCAUAGUUUGCAUUGAUGGUAAGCGCAAAUAUUGGUUGAGAAAUUUGUAAUAAUUUAUAUUAGAAUUUCUUCAAUAAAUAUAUUUUUUUAUA